AUUCACAGUUUACUCAACUUUCCUCCAAGUUGCUUAGCCUACCAACAAUCAUGAAGUUCUUAGUAGUUCUUGUUUUGGCUUUUGUUUAUGCAUCAGCUUCGUCAACCACCUACAGGUACACCAACAGGAAUGGCGACCGUUGUAUUUGUGGUUUCACUGCACCUGCAGCCACCGAAAUUGCAACUCCAACACAAGAAGAUGAUAUAGUUGACGAAGGAGCCGCAGAAGAACAACACCCAGCAGAAAUUGUUUGCCCCGAAGUAGGGGUUAAACCCAAACAAGAAACUCGUCGCAAUGUUUUAAGCUCUAUUUCGAGGCGCCUUUAUUUAGGCUGAGCUUAAUGCGCAAACUGUCAACCAAAUCCAGAUUUGAAAUAAAUCGAUUCAAGCUCUAAA
Molecule: long non-coding RNA, 395 nt
Organism: Dalotia coriaria
Lineage: Eukaryota; Metazoa; Arthropoda; Insecta; Coleoptera; Staphylinidae
Exons: 3
Source: RefSeq, a predicted model, not a curated record